GUUUAGGCUACAUGUUGUUCAUGCUACAUGUUGCUCAAGCUACAUGUUGUUCAGGCUACAUGUUGUUCAGGCUACAUGUUGUUCAGGCUACAUGUUGUUUAGGCUACAGGAUGUUUAAUAGCAUACGGCAUGUUGUUCAGGCUACAUGUUGUUCAGGCUACAUGUUGUUUAGGCUACAGGAUGUUUAAUAGCAUACGGCAUGUUGUUCAGGCUACAUGUUGUUCAGGCUACAUGUUGUUUAGGUUACAGGAUGUUUAAUAGCAUACGACAUGUUGUUCAGGCUACAUGUUGUUCAGGCUACAUGUUGUUCAGGCUACAUGUUGUUUAGGCUACAGGAUGUUUAAUAGCAUACGACAUGUUGUUCAAGCUACAUGUUGUUCAGGCUACAUGUUGUUCAGGCUACAUGUUGUUCAGGCUACAUGUUGUUCAGGCUACAUGUUGUUUAGGCUACAGGAUGUUUAAUAGCAUACGGCAUGUUGUUCAGGCUACAUGUUGUUCAGGCUACAUGUUGUUUAUGCUCCAGGAUGUUUAAUAGCCUAUGACAUGUUUUUCAGGCUACAUGUUGUUUAAUAGCCUACGACAUGUUUUUCAGGCUACACGUUGUUCAGGCUAGGACCAGCAGUGAACUGUAUUGUCCUUAACAAACAUGCUUGAAGCGAGAGGGGGACCACCACCUCUUCAUCUGAGUCAUUAGAUAGUGGGUUCAUUGGAAUUGAAAUAAAAUAAAGCGUUAGACAUUUUGACCAAGUUAAAACAAUAGGACUUAAAUCUCUGUAAACAUCUAUUUAGAAUAUGCGUGGUAAUUGGAGUCUUAAAAAUCACUUGGUUGUAGUCAUAUGUUGUCAAAGACAAACUUAAAGCAGUUUUAAUCUCACCCCUGAAAUCUGUCUCCAGGCAGAUCAUUUUGGAGUAUGGCUUCCCAAUCGCAUCUUUGUAGGAGGACAACAACUUCUGUCCCAUCGGGGGUACAACAGAACAUAGAUACCCCUAGGAAGGACUUCAUUGAAAUCGAG
RNAcentral lists this long non-coding RNA (1013 nucleotides) under Salmo salar (Atlantic salmon). RNAcentral's name for it is "lncRNA (ENSSSAG00000092581.1)". Lineage: Eukaryota; Metazoa; Chordata; Actinopteri; Salmoniformes; Salmonidae. The record is from RNAcentral.